This 2290-nucleotide ribosomal RNA is filed under the name human gut metagenome. RNAcentral describes it as "bacterial LSU rRNA". It matches the Rfam family "Bacterial large subunit ribosomal RNA", at positions 1 to 2312 of the family's 2925-position model. The record is from RNAcentral.
GAAAGUAAAGAAGGGCGCAUGGCGGAUGCCUUGGCUCUCGGAGGCGAUGAAGGACGUGAUAAGCUGCGAUAAGCUUUGGGGAGGUGCAAAUGACCUUUGAUCCAGAGAUUUCCGAAUGGGACAACCCAAUAUCUUGAAGAGGUAUUAUCCAACUUUGUUGGAGGCUAACGCAGGGAACUGAAACAUCUUAGUACCUGCAGGAAAAGAAAAUAAACAAUGAUUCCCCCAGUAGUGGCGAGCGAACGGGGAACAGCCCAAACCAUCCAUGUUACGGCAUGGGUGGGGUUGUAGGACUACGCCGUUGCAUGAAGACAUCAGAGAAGAACUUUCUGGAAAGAAAGACCAUAGAGCAUGACAGUUGCGUAUUCGAAUGUUGUCGAAGCAUAGUAGUAUCCUGAGUAGCGCGGAGCACGAGGAAUUCUGCGUGAAUCUGCCGGGACCAUCCGGUAAGGCUAAAUACUCCCGAGAGACCGAUAGCGAACCAGUACCGUGAGGGAAAGGUGAAAAGCACUUCGAACAGAAGAGUGAAAUAGUUCCUGAAACCGUGCGCCUACAAGCGGUCGGAGCUCGUUAAUGAGUGACGGCGUGCCUUUUGCAUAAUGAACCUACGAGUUGCCUUUGCCGGCAAGGUUAAGUGUGACGACACACGUAUCCGAAGCGAAAGCGAGUCUGAAGAGGGCGUAUAGUCGGCAGUGGCAGACGCGAAACCAAGUGAUCUACCCUUGGCCAGGUUGAAGGCUGGGUAACACCAGCUGGAGGACCGCACCAAUAAGCGUUGAAAAGCUUCUGGAUGAGCUGAGGGUAGGGGUGAAAGGCUAAUCAAACUUGGAGAUAGCUCGUACUCCCCGAAAUGCAUUUAGGUGCAGCCUUGCGGGUUACUGAUGUGAGGUAGAGCGACUGAUAAGAUGCGAGGGCUUCACCGCCUAUCAAGUCUUGACAAACUCCGAAUGCGCAUCAGUUCUACCGCAGGAGUGAGGGCAUGGGUGCUAAGGUCCGUGCCCGAGAGGAGAAGAAUCCGGACCACCUGCUAAGGUCCCGAAAUGACAGCUAAGUUAAACUAACGAAGUCUGACUGCUAAGACAGCUAGGAUGUUGGCUUGGAAGCAGCCAUUCAUUUAAAGAGUGCGUAACAGCUCACUAGUCGAGGAGUCGGGCGUGGAUAAUAAUCGGGUAUCAAGUUGUCUACCGAAGCAGUGGGAUCAUUUAUAUGAUCGGUAGGGGAGCAUUCCAGUCAGCGUCGAAGGCGUACCGUGAGGUAUUCUGGAGCGUCUGGAAAAGCAAAUGUAGGUAUAAGUAACGAUAAAGGGGGCGGGAAACCCCCUCGCCGAAAGACUAAGGUUUCCUGAUCAACGCUAAUCGGAUCAGGGUCAGUCGGGUCCUAAGGCUCAGCCGAACGGCGAUGCCGAUGGCAGAAACGGUUAAUAUUCCGUUACUACCUUCAGGAGUGACGUGGAGACGCAGUAGUGACAGUGCCGCCAUCUGACGGAAUAGAUGGUUGAAGGGUGUAGGAGUCGAUCAUGGCAGGCAAAUCCACCAUGAGAUCCGAACCUGAUAGUAUGCCGCGUCCUUCGGGACAAGGCAAUAGUGCGCGUAAGCAUGCUGCCGAGAAAAUCCGCUAAACUUAAUCCUGUAGGUACCCGUACCGCAAACGGACACACGUAGUCGGGAUGAAUAUUCUAAGGCGCUUGAGUGAUUCACGGUUAAGGAACUAGGCAAACUGACCCUGUAACUUCGGGAUAAAGGGUCCCUACCCUUUUAUGGGAGGGCGCAGAGAAUCGGUCCAGGCAACUGUUUAACAAAAACACAGGGCUGUGCCAAAUCGAAAGAUCCAGUAUACAGCCUGACACCUGCCCGGUGCUGGAAGGUUAAGAGGAGAUGUCAUCGAUAAGAGAAGCGUUGAAUUGAAGCCCCAGUAAACGGCGGCCGUAACUAUAACGGUCCUAAGGUAGCGAAAUUCCUUGUCGGGUAAGUUCCGACCUGCACGAAUGGUGUAAUGAUCUGGACGCUGUCUCAACCGUGAGCUCAGUGAAAUUGUAGUAUCGGUGAAGAUGCCGAUUACCCGCGAUGGGACGAAAAGACCCCGUGAACCUUUACUAUAGCUUAUCAUUGAAUCUGGGCACGUGAUGUGUAGGAUAGGUCGGAGGCUUUGAAGCAGGUACGCCAGUAUUUGUGGAGCCGCUGUUGAAAUACGACCCUUUAUUUGUUUGGAUUCUAACCCGUGGAACGGGGACAUUGAUUGGUGGGUAGUUUGACUGGGGUGGUCGCCUCCAAAAGCGUAACGGAGGCUUCUA